Ictidomys tridecemlineatus (thirteen-lined ground squirrel) is the source of this 69-nucleotide non-coding RNA. Lineage: Eukaryota; Metazoa; Chordata; Mammalia; Rodentia; Sciuridae. The record is from Rfam.
GGGGUUGUGGCUCAGUGGCGGAGCAUUUGCCUGGAAAGUAUGAGGCCCUGGGUUUGAUCCUCAGCACCA